UUAGGUUUUUGCUUCUUUCAAAGGUUUGUUUUUCCUCAUACCUUAGGGUUUUCAUAAAUAGACUAGGGUUUUCUCCAUACUUCCUAGGGUUUUAUUCUAAGGGUUUUUAUAACAACAGACUUGUAGUUUGUGUUUAAAAAUCAUUUCCGCACCCUCUUCUAAACACCUUCUUCUAAACCCUAAACCCUAAAACCUUAAGCUUGGAACUAGCCAAGCCUAAACUCUCUAGCCCCCUGUUGUUACCUUCCCCCCUGUUUGGUAUCAGAGCCAAGACUUUCUUGGUACACUAAGACUAAUUAGCUUUAUCACUUAGUUAUUUUAAUAAACUUUUACAAUCAAUUCAACAGCCUCGUUUUCUUUUAAACAAGACAGAGAAAAGAAACGAAGACAAAUCUUCCUUUAAUACAACCACAUUAUUGAUAAUAGUGAAUACAACCACAUUAUUGAUAAUAGUAAAUCUUUUUUAGAUUUAUCCUCAAUGCAACCACAUUAUUGAUUUUAUGCCAAAAAGAAAGGCUCCAGAUAACAAUAUAGAUCAACUUUUCCGUAACAUCACAGACCAACCUUUUUCCCUAACAACUUUCAUUUUAACCUUACUUCUCUUAGGAUUUCCAGAAGACAUCAUAUAUAAUAUUUUAGAUAUAUUAAUAAUAUAUUGGGAAACUUUUGCCCCAUACCUUAUUACUUGGCCUUUUCGAUAUAUUGGAAGAAAAUAAUAAUUUUAUUCUAAGACUCUCAAAACUGGAUAAAGACAUAGCAUUAUUUUUACUAAACGAAUCAAUCUUUAGAUUCCUUUUAGUAUGCUUGUAUUAUCUCAUUGAACCAAUUCUAGACUUUCUUUACACUCCCUACCUUUUACAAACUUUUAUUAUAAAUUCUUUAUCUUUAGGAGUUCCACUCCAUAUUUUAAUUAGCAUUAUACACCUUAUAUAUCAGCUUUGGGAAAUAGACCCUUUUCUUGUAUUUCAAAUCUUUAGACAAUAAUUAACACACUGGCUAAUCAAGACAAAGACGAAAUAUUGCCAGACUACGAGGAAUACGAAGCCGAUAAUAACGACAACGACAACGAAAAUUUAAGACAAUCAGAAGACAAUAACAAUAGUGACGAAGACAGUUCAGACUAUAGUGAAAAUACUACAAGCCCAAGACAAUUUAACUGGCGAUACAAUAUCGUUCAUAUUGGAAGAAGAAGAUUUUUGGAAAUUACAGUCGAAGACGCUUUUGACAUAGACGCCUUCACCUUUAAUACUAUGGGCCGUUUAAGGAAAUAUCACAAGUUAGUUAGGACUAUACGUGCUAACUAACUUGUUAGCACUAUACUGCAUGGGGUAAAUGAAAAUUAGUGAAGUUUCACCAGCAGUAAUCGGCCCGUGAUUGCCUGGCCUCUAAACACGGCCUGGCCUUGAUAUAGUGCUAACAAGUCCCCAUAGGAGCGGGUUUAAAGAUCCCCAUAGGAGCGGGGAUUAGCACAAGUUUUAUCAAGGACUUCAACGGCCGCAGUAUUCUCCUCCCAAACCACCUCUUCCUUCGGCUAUAAAGGAAGAACCCCCUCCUCCUCUCCAAGCAGGAUAAGGAGAUAGCGCAGAUAGAAAUCAAGCAAGCUCUCUCCAAGCAUUAGAGAAAAUCCUACUUAGUCCCUGCCUUAUGUAAAAAUUGCGCUGAAGCUAAAAGGAAGAUCAUUUCGACGACAAGUGAAGAAUGAAGCUAGCCUCUUGUUAAAUAUAGCAUCCCAGCUCCACAAAUAAAUCCCCAAUAGCUUUUAUUUUCCUUCCCUUCCUGUAAAAAUUUAUCUUUUUCUCAACUGCAUUCUGGCGUGAAGAGUCUGUACAAACAAGUCCUUUCUUUCCCCCCGGGAAGUCCCGGAAGGGAAACCUUCUAGCGUUGUGAUGUAAGUUUUAUUUCUUGUUUAAUAUUAUAUUUCUCGAACUCUUCUAUCCAUGGCAUUUUCUUUGCCCCAUGAUUCCCUUUCCUUGGACUCUUAAUGAAAAUUUAUGGGUUCUCUCUGGAUAAUUAUUUCAGCUUAAGCAAGUGUAAAGCAUAUAUGCUUGGCAGAUUUGAUAAGAGAAAAAAUGCUCUGUAAUUUUCGCCAUUGAUAGCCAGAGGUGCUUUGCGGCGUUAGAGCGAGGUUCUCUGAAAACUGUACGCCAAGAGGGUCUUGUGCACCAACACUGUGUCUUAAGUGGUGUUAUCCACAUUAGAAAAUUNNNNNNNNNNNNNNNNNNNNNNNNNAUCUUUUAAAGGUCUCUUUUCACCUUUUUUUUUCUGUUUUUUUUUUUUUUUAACAGUGUCCGAAAACGCGGACUACAUAAAGAGGCAUAAUUGAAAAACAGAUGCAGAACUGAAAGAAAUAUAUACAAAUAUAUACAAAACAUCAGAACCAGGUGGCUAAGCAUUUUCCCUUAAAUUGUCACAUUUGGGAGAAGAUGCUUCUAGUAUCAUAGGAUCUUCUUGUUUUUCUUCAGUGUUUCCUAUACUAGGGUAUGGUAAUGGUUCUGAAGAGGAUUCAAUUUGCCGGAAAGGUUUGGCAAUUGGCUGUGGAUAUUUUUUGAGGGUAGGCUUUUGUGGUGCUGAGGAUAAAAAAUGUUUUACUGAAAUAGAGGGAUGGACUACUGGGAUUAGUGGGUUAUGAAAUGGAGUAUUUAUGUCGGUCAUAGGAGGAAAGACCAAACUCGGUGUAGUUGUCAUUAUAGGAGGAUACUUUGAAGGAGGAUAAGAGGAAGAUUGAGGUAGAGAUACAAUACCUUGUUGUGAGGGGUUCUUGAGGUCUUUGAUCUGUUGUUCCAGAAUAGCAAUUCUUUGGAUGUUUUUCUGAUCCUUUAUUCUCAAGUCAUCGCAAAUAGUGUUCAGUUUUUGAAGCUGUGUUGCCAUUGUUGAGCAGUUUUCACAGAAACUACUUUUCUCAGGAUUGUGGGUGGAUGUAGAGGCAUGAAUAUGUGGAGAAGAGCGAAUAUUGGGGGAGAUAAAAAAGUUUGGACCAAAGUAGGUACGAGCAGUGUCUAAGGGUUCAGAUAAAAAGAUAACUCUUAUAGAGAGGAAGAGGAAAAGAAAGCUUAUUGUUUUCCUUUUUCCCUAAUCCCAAUCUGGAUAGUUCCAAUUUGGAUUUAUAAUAAAAGGGAAAUAUGGCAUGAGGUUGUAACAUAGGUGGUAACAUAAAAUUCUAGUAAGUUUAUAUUGAUAGUCUAAGCUAUAGUCUUGAAGGUUAAGUUUGUCCAGAAGAUGUUGUUGGCAAAUAUCUUCCCAAUAAUCAUUUUCUGUAAUUCCUUCAAGUGGGUAGCCAAAUAGUACUCGAAUGUCUCUAAUAAUACUGUCUUGAUCUAGUAAGUCAUAAAAUUGAAGAUUUAGCUCGUCUCGAAAAUAUUGUUGGUAAUAAUUUUCCCAAUCUUGUUCAGGGAGGUGACAUAUGCCAGAAAACCAAAGUUGUAAAUCAAACUUGUCUUGGAGUCUAUCUAACCAUAAUUGUUUUUGCUGGGAGUUUUCUAGCCUUUUGUAAAGAGUCUGUCUGUUGUAUUCUUUGCAUGCUGCUGCUAAGGCUUUUUCUUCACCUAAAUGCUUAAAGCUAGAAAGGAUAAUGUGAAAAGGCAUAACAGCAAAUGGGUCUUCAAAUAACCUGUGUAUGUCUUGGAUUAUAUCAUCAAGAGUUUCUUCAGAAGGUUUAAGGAAAACAUCAGUGCAAAAAGGGCAAUAAUGCGGAUCCAUGUCUUUGUCUUUGUUUGAACCUGAAAUGUCUGGAUCAAGAUACAUUAUAUUAAUAUUAUUAUGUCUUUUUUUCUUUUUUCAUGGAUCCAUUAAGUCUACUACACCUAAAGGGUUCAUUAAGAAAUGUGAUUCGGCAGUGGGUGUUAACAGACCUGUAAAUCCGAUACAAACUUGUAGGUUUCUAAAGUUUUGUCCUUCAUAUAAGUCUAUUCCUCUAACUUGUAUACCUAUCUUAAUUUGAUUAGCAAAGUGUCACGCCCCGAGACCGCUACCAAUUUGGUCCGGCCCGGGCGCGUCGAACAGACGCCGAACGGACAGAACCUCCCCUGUCCGUCCAAGGCUAACCAACAGAUCAUGUAUAAGAAUUUUACCCAGGAAUCAAUUCAUAAAUACACGAUCAAGAAGCACCACCAGUGCAACAACUAAGAGCAAGAUACUAGUAUAAAAAUAUAUACAAGUACAUAAAGAGAGAAGAUGCUAUCUAUUACAUUCAUUCAACCUUUAUAAUACAAUUUGAUUAUACAUUAAGCUUCUAAACAUAAGAUAAAGCUUACAUCUUCCAAAAUAUAAACAUUAGCUUACAUUCAUCCCAAAAUAGCUCACAACCUAUACAUCAUCUACUCUCAAUGUAUAUAAGGUGACUCUAAUGCAGAAAUAGGAAAGUAGACUAAUGCAACUAGGGCGCUAAGCCCUUACCGCGAUCCUCGCCGUGUGAACUCGCGCUCGGCCCUGUAGUAAAAUGGGGGUGAGAACUAACUUCCUUAGUUCCCAGUGGGUUCGGCCGCCGACUCCGCCGAUCUCCCCACUAGGUCCAAGUUGGGCACAAGUAGAUAAUCGAUAGAUAGAUAGAUAAGGAAAGCGGCAAAUGACAGAAGUAAAGGUACUCUACUAUGCCCAAUCAUAAAUAUAUGAAUGCAUGUACAAUGAAAUAGGUAAGCAANNNNNNNNNNNNNNNNNNNNNNNNNNNNNNNNNNNNNNNNNNNNNNNNNNNNNNNNNNNNNNNNNNNNNNNNNNNNNNNNNNNNNNNNNNNNNNNNNNNNNNNNNNNNNNNNNNNNNNNNNNNNNNNNNNNNNNNNNNNNNNNNNNNNNNNNNNNNNNNNNNNNNNNNNNNNNNNNNNNNNNNNNNNNNNNNNNNNNNNNNNNNNNNNNNNNNNNNNNNNNNNNNNNNNNNNNNNNNNNNNNNNNNNNNNNNNNNNNNNNNNNNNNNNNNNNNNNNNNNNNNNNNNNNNNNNNNNNNNNNNNNNNNNNNNNNNNNNNNNNNNNNNNNNNNNNNNNNNNNNNNNNNNNNNNNNNNNNNNNNNNNNNNNNNNNNNNNNNNNNNNNNNNNNNNNNNNNNNNNNNNNNNNNNNNNNNNNNNNNNNNNNNNNNNNNNNNNNNNNNNNNNNNNNNNNNNNNNNNNNNNNNNNNNNNNNNNNNNNNNNNNNNNNNNNNNNNNNNNNNNNNNNNNNNNNNNNNNNNNNNNNNNNNNNNNNNNNNNNNNNNNNNNNNNNNNNNNNNNNNNNNNNNNNNNNNNNNNNNNNNNNNNNNNNNNNNNNNNNNNNNNNNNNNNNNNNNNNNNNNNNNNNNNNNNNNNNNNNNNNNNNNNNNNNNNNNNNNNNNNNNNNNNNNNNNNNNNNNNNNNNNNNNNNNNNNNNNNNNNNNNNNNNNNNNNNNNNNNNNNNNNNNNNNNNNNNNNNNNNNNNNNNNNNNNNNNNNNNNNNNNNNNNNNNNNNNNNNNNNNNNNNNNNNNNNNNNNNNNNNNNNNNNNNNNNNNNNNNNNNNNNNNNNNNNNNNNNNNNNNNNNNNNNNNNNNNNNNNNNNNNNNNNNNNNNNNNNNNNNNNNNNNNNNNNNNNNNNNNNNNNNNNNNNNNNNNNNNNNNNNNNNNNNNNNNNNNNNNNNNNNNNNNNNNNNNNNNNNNNNNNNNNNNNNNNNNNNNNNNNNNNNNNNNNNNNNNNNNNNNNNNNNNNNNNNNNNNNNNNNNNNNNNNNNNNNNNNNNNNNNNNNNNNNNNNNNNNNNNNNNNNNNNNNNNNNNNNNNNNNNNNNNNNNNNNNNNNNNNNNNNNNNNNNNNNNNNNNNNNNNNNNNNNNNNNNNNNNNNNNNNNNNNNNNNNNNNNNNNNNNNNNNNNNNNNAAUUUUCGAUGAUGCAAUUUUCCUAAAACUCGGACUUAUGAUGAAAUUUAAUUUUCUAAUGUGGAUAACACCACUUAAGACACAGUGUUGGUGCACAAGACCCUCUUGGCGUACAGUUUUCAGAGAACCUCGCUCUAACGCCGCAAAGCACCUCUGGCUAUCAAUGGCGAAAAUUACAGAGCAUUUUUUUUCUCUUAUCAAAUCUGCCAAGCAUAUAUGCUUUACACUUGCUUAAGCUGAAAUAAUUAUCCAGAGAGAACCCAUAAAUUUUCAUUAAGAGUCCAAGGAAAGGGAAUCAUGGGGCAAAGAAAAUGCCAUGGAUAGAAGAGUUCGAGAAAUAUAAUAUUAACAAGAGAUAAAACUUACAUCACAACGCUAGAAGGUUUCCCUUCCGGGACUUCCCGGGGGGAAAGAAAGGACUUGUUUGUACAGACUCUUCACGCCAGAAUGCAGUUGAGAAAAAGAUAAAUAUUUACAGGAAGAAAAGGAAAGUAAAGGCCAUUAGGGAAUUAUUUGUGGAGCUAGGAUGAUAUAUCUAACAAGAGGCUUGCUUCAUUCUUCACUUGUCGGCGAAAUGAUCUUCCUUUUAGCUUCAGCGCAAUUUUUACAUAAGGCAGGGACUAAGUAGGAUUUUCUCUAAUGCUUGGAGAGAGCCUGCUCGAUAUCAUGCUUGGAGAGGAGGAGGGGGUUCUUCCUUUAUAGCCGAAGGAGGCGCAGAAGUGGUGGAGGAAAACCAUGGGAGCCCCUGGUUUUCAAUAAAACCGUGGGUACUCAGGGAACGGUUUAAGGACGUCAUGAUGAUGCGGGGCCCGAGGUUUUUCAAAAAAAACUAUGGGCGGAAGUUUUCUGAGGAUGGAAUGAAGUGGCGGGGCCCUUGGGAUUUUUGGUGGACUUGGUGCACGAGUGGUGUCCACGUGUUGCUUCACUGUUUGUCCAAAUGGAUGCCACGUGUUGAAUUUUCAUUUGCUUGGUGGAGGCCAAAAAAAAUUUUUUUUUUUUUUUUGGACUGGUGGUGUCUGUUGGGAAACAGACUUAAGAACCUUGCUGUUGGUGGUGGAGUUGGAUCAAAGGUGAUUAAAAAAGAAAAGACUGCAAAAUAAAAACUGAUUAGCUAAAAAGUCCUAACUAAAAACCCUUAUUUUUGCCUGUGAAAGAAUCACAGCGGGUUAAUUCUUUUUUUCUUUUUUCUUUUUCUGAUUUUUNAAAAUGAAUCGAUGCGAUUAAUUCGAAAAAGAUCGAGAUAGUCUUUUUAAGAGUCUUUUAUGGGUUUUUUAACAAUUUUUAGGUUGAAAGAGAAAGAACGUGAAUAGGAAAAAUUGGCCAUAUAAGAUUAUGAAUUAAAAAUUAUAUAAUGUAUUAGACUGGGUUGAGAUGAUAAAGGCGUAAAGGGAUUUUUAGGAUUUUUUAGGUUUUUUAUAAAAUUUUUAGGAAAAAUCCAAAAACGAAGAAAGUUUCCAAACAAAAAGGAUGAUAGAAUCCCAAAAAUAUUUAUCUGAUCCCAAAAGAGGUAUUUAGGAUCCCAAAAAUAGAAUUCCCAAAAAAUAUUGUUGUCUGAACAUCAAACACAAAUUUUUAGUAAAGGCGUGGAAGAAGAUUUGGGAUUUGGGAUUUGGAAUUUGAACCUUGAUCGGUUCGGAUUUGAGAGAUCGGGGAGAAAGGGGGGAGAACCAUAGUCUCAAAAUCCCAAAUCCCAAAUCCCAAAUCCCAAAUCCCUUGUUGGAAAAGUAAAUUGUUGGAAAUAAAAAUGGAAUUAAGACAAUCCGAAAGGUCUAUUGUAGUAUAUGCGAUUAAUUCGCGUGAUAAAAAAUGAAUCGAUGCGAUUAAUUCGAAAAAGAUCGAGAUAGUCUUUUUAAGAGUCUUUUAGGAUUUUUUAGGUGAAAAACUUUAGUGCAAUGGGUCUUUCCGCUGGAAUGCUUAGGUUUCCAGCGUGAAGAAGUCGAACCGUAUAUGGAAUAAGAAGGUUUCUUGAACGUUAUGAUUAGCUUCUACGAAAAGAACAAGGAGUAAUGAAGCCUUCAUCCGGGUCUACAGCACAUACUUGAGAAGCUGUUUGGCCAGGUUGUUCCUGAACUUAUGUACCAAGCAAUUUAAGUACUUACGACAGCCCCGUAAUUAUUCGGGUUUACUAUAAUGGAACUUAAGUAUCACGGGUAUGGUGUAUGUCUUACGGCAGAAUACGUGUAGGAGGCCGAAUUGGAAAUCAACCACUACAAGCCUAACGUUUACUAGAAUCUUAUGUGACUCUAAUAACUACAACUAGUGUAUUCAGUAACUAUAACCCGUUGCCCAUAAAUAAAAACUACCACUGAAACAGUACCAUCAGAUGUGCGUUGACAUCGCUUGGUAGAAGGAAAAAAUGCUUAUCGUGGCACCGAGGGGUUCCGCUAUGUGAGUUAAAUUACUUCGGUAAUAGGUUAUCUAGGACGUCAACUAAAAAGUUGAGAAAGGUGAGUCAGCCACAGUAAGCUAUCCGACGGAAACUUUAGCCGCUAGGGCCCAUAGUCCGGAUACUGCUUAAACUAGAGAACCAGACCACCAUAGGGCCCAUUGAGAUAGCCUUUCUGUAGACCCUUGAGAGCAUGAUAUCCUUGUAAGAGCUCGUGUCUUUGGAGGAAAGCUAGAAGUGGUGGCAACGAUUCAUCCGUUGUGUUGGUGAUAAUUAGUUAAAAAAGCGUGCGCUACACCUAUGGCAUUAACGUUUCUCGCUCGAAAAUGUAGGAGCCAUGUGUUCGAAGAAAACAGCUCCAAUUACUUUCCAGUAUUGAGGCGAGAGUGUUAAUAAUCGACGGAUUGUAAAACACUCAGUCAGGUAUAGGUUUUGAUCCAGUUUUUGGGAAGGGCCACACUAGCAGUUACGAGGAAGCGCGCCUCCAUUAGAAGAAGAAGUUAAACUAACAACAGAGAAGGAAGGAACACUAAUAUAGCCGAAGACGAAGAUGGGGAGAAAAGAGCCUAGGAACGGAGAAAAAGAAGGGGCGGCGACUUCAAGACGGACACCAUAACAGUGGCGGAGCAAUUAACACCUAGGGAGCGUUAGCGUACUGACCACGUGAAGAACAUAGAAUGGAAGAGAGAGUAAAAAAACAUAGGAUAUUAGGGAAAGUUAGAUCGGAAGGUGAUAAUGGUUGAUAGAAACGGCUUUGUUAGUUGAGAUUUAAAAAUUCAAGCAGUGUGGUCGCCGAACAAUAAAUUAGAGAUCUUCGGGAGUGAUAUAAUCAAAUAUGUGUAUACGCUGGUUAGUAUACAAUCACUGAUACAAGAAGAACCACAAUUAUACGAUUUUUGAUGAAGUUUCCAUCCUCAGACACAUCUUUAAAACAAUCUUAACUAAUUCCUUUGUACCUCACGCUUUCCAUAUUUAUAACAAACACUACCAACCCCACUAGGAGUUUUCACCGAUGAUUACUAAAAAUACUAGCAGUGCCUCCUGCAGGAUACAAAAAUUUCCGUUAAUUAUUUUCCAGACCUCUUUCUGUUCCGCGCGCGGGAUCUCUCCAUUCCGCGUGUGAAAAUAUUUUAAAACUUUAUUAGUUCUUUAAGACAUGAUAUGAAAGAUUAUUAAUAAUUCAUCAUGAUUUAUAUGUGAAAUUUUAGUAUAAUGUUAUUUAUAAGACAUUGAUAGGUUAUUAGUACAAAAACCUGUUUUUGUUUGCUUCUUUUCUUUUCUUCGGUUCACCAUUAAAAUUUUUGUUUUAUUGUCCUUUCUUGUUUCAUGGAAAAACAGAGGUCUAUUCUGGUUGUAUUUCCAUUGAUCAUUAAGUGUUUGUACAUCUUUUGAAACUACAGUUUUUGUAUAUUAAUAUUCGUGUACUAAUAUUUUUCAUUGUACAUAUUUUAAAAUUUCAAAGUUCGGUUUUUAUUAAUUUUCCCGUAGUACUAGUGUACUUUCGAUUCACAAAUUCCGAGGUUCGGUUUUAUGCAGUAUAAUCUUUACAACUAAUCAAGAGAGAGGGGUGAGGAGAGUUAGUAGUUAGUAGUAAAAGUAGUGAACUAUUUCUUAUGAGGAGAGGGAGCAAUCUAAACAGUAGAGGUUACAGAAGAAGAAGAAGUAGGAGAUACAGAGCUCAGAGUAGUUUUAAUCCGAGAAGUAGUAAAUAUUUCAAUGAUUAUAAGGCUCUAACUCUUCUACUUCGAAAACGGAAAGAAAAUGGUGAUGCGAACCACCUUGAUGCACUAAAUCAUACUACCCAUCCGACUAAGUGGGGACGACGAAAUCGGUGAUAUGAGGUACAGUUACACAGUAGAAAGGUUUGUAAUAGGAAUAGAAGGGAGAGUAGUAGCAACAAAAGUAGGUAAGAAGAUUAGUUGGUAAGUAAUGAUGAUACUUCGUGCCUAUGAAGUUUAAAGUACGGCAUAGGCAUAGCCUAUGGCUAUGCGCGGGUUAUGCGCGGGCUAUGCGCGGGCUAUGCCCUUACUUCAUAGACUGUAAAAAUUUUUUAUUUUUUUAUAGCCUAUACCGAGCCUAUACACUCCCUAUGACCCCCUAUGCCCCCCCUGUGCCGGGGCGAGAAAAAACCAGAUUUUACUAACUUUGAAUUUUAAAAAAAUUUUCGAGUGCAGGUUUGGAUAACCUUUCUUCCUUUUCUCACUCUUUUUGUGGUUAUAGACAAGUUAAGUAGUAAAGUAGAUAGAAAAACAAGAACUUACGAUCUUCCGCGAGGGAAAGCAAGAGAGAAGUGUGUCAUAAAUGAGAGAAGGUAGAUUAAACAGUUGGAUAAUAAUUCGUUGUUUCCGAUAUCUUUUAUACUAAAAAAAAAGGAAGAGAUAAUUUAACAAUCGUAUAAAAAAAUAAUGAUAAAAUUAUUAUCUUGAUUGUUUAGUCCAUAUAUAUAACUUACCGAUUAAUAGAUCAAACACGCUGAUAUAUAAAUAACAAUAGUAAACUAGUUCAACUUACUAUCAACCAAACUAUGAAAAACUUAAUAAUAAAAUAUACUAACUAAUAGAAAAAAAUACUUGUAUACAUCUUAUUAAUAUGUUCAAUUACGUAUAAUCUUAUAUAAGGAAUUAUAUCAGAUCUAUAAGAUUAACAAGAGUUAUAUAGUAAUGUAUAUUAGUUGUAUGUAAAUUUAUAUAAAUUUUAUUAUAAAAUAAAUUCAUAUAGGGCGCAUAGCAUAGAAUCUUCAAAAUCUUUAACGGCAUAGUGGCAUAAGCAUAGCAUAGCAUAGGCAUAGGGGCAUAGGCAUAGACACGUUGUAUCGUAAUGAGAGUAGUUAAAGUAAGUAACUCUAUCCUAGAUACCACACUGCGUUAAAUAUAGCGGUGGAGUUAUGAGAUAACAUGGGAUGUAUGUGAUUUAGUAAGUUCGCAAAAACGCACUCAGAUAAAGAAAAGAAUGAUACUUCGAUGUUUUUUUGUUUGUUGAAAUACUAUUAUUUCUAUUAUACUUUAAAGUUCAUAAUUUAAUGCUUGAGUUUUGAUAGUUUAUGACUUUAUGAUAUUGAUCAAUUGAUGUCAUCUUCUACUAAAUUAUAUCUAUUGAACGUACAAGUUUAUGGGAGGUUAAAGCGAGUGUUAACCUUCGUGAUGUUCACUCCGAUUCUCGGGAUUAGCGUUGAAAAACGUUCAGACCACAACUACUGGGUUUGUUAAAGGUGAUGAGUCGACAAGUAUAUUUACAAUAUAAUUGAUAUUUAAUUAUUACAUACAUUUACCCACGUAAACAAAGAAUAGAUUAGAAUGAUGUUUAAUCAUUAUUGAUAAUUUUACAUAUUACGUAUCUAAAUAUUAUCAUGAUAUGAUAAUCGUUCAUCAUAUCUUGAUUGUAUGGACCACUGAAAUAAAAAGAAACAGCUUAACGGUAUAAUCAAGACUUUUCCGGUACACGAAGUGCUAUAUGUGAAUCAACUAGCGUAUGAAAUAGAACAAGAAGUCGAAAACGUUGAUUAGAAACAUUUCGAACUAUAUUUGGGUUGUAUUAGAGGAGUAGAGAUGUUUAAAAACUUAAACUUAUUUUUUUAAGUCACAAAUUCUUUACUGGUCGCUGUACGUUUCCCGCUACUUCGACCGUAACGGUAGAUAAUAGUUAUUAGAACUUAUGAAGUGAUAUAAAGAGGAGGGAGGGGAAUUUUCUGAAAGUUAACGAAGGAAACGAGACGGGUAUCGGAGCAUUUAUACUGGGUAACGACCGGAAAAAAGUGGCAGUUGAUCAACUUCAUAUGCUGCUUGUUCUCCUGGUUUUUAAAAUUCUUAUAUUUGUUACGAUCAGGUUUUACACCCGUAGUUAUGUUACUAUCAACGUAAAAAUGGGCGAACAUCAAAACGGGUAAAUGAAAACCAGGUUAGUAGGCUACACUUGUAGAAAGAUUUCGACGAGAAAACGAAUACAUUGGCAACUUCCCAUUCUUUCCGACAACGUUUAGAACAAUGUUGUCCGGAUUCGUUGAGAGAAACCCGACACUUUGCAGAGUAGUACAACUGGUACGGGCACGCCCGUAUUUGUAUUGGUGAGUUACAACAACGGGAAAAGUGAUAAGAUAUGUGGAGCUCAUAGAAAGAUUACAGGAGUUCGUAGUUUAGUUAUGUUACCCGACGUCUUCCACUGGUUAUAUUUAAACCAGCAAAACGAAGGUUAUUAAAAAGAUAAUUUUAAAGUGUAUAUAAAGUAUAUUAUUGCAUUUUAACUUCAUAUAUGACUUUGUUUUAAUUAAAUGAAAAAUAUGUUUUAAAAAAUGGUCAGUUGUGUAACAAGCUAUGUGAUAGUCAGUGUUAAACUUGCUGUAAACGGAGGGAUUAUAAGAGGUGGUAUAAUAGGUUAUUGAAUUUGUAGAAGAGGUCAAAAUCUCAUUAACCUCCGUAGUUAUCUAAGCUAUUUGUGUUAAGGGUAACCUCUUAAGCGUUCUUUCAAAUAUUCCCGGGAAACAGAGAACAGGUAGAUAGGUAGCGUGUAAUAUGAUGUAGAUCAGAAACGGGUAAGGAGGUAUACCGGUAAGUAACUUAAGAAGCCAACAACUCGGAAGAAAACUUGUUUUCCUUAAGCAUUGAACAUUUAUCUUUCACCAAAUUUUGGUUACGGCAUAACAGGUUGUCCAAGCUCACGGCGUACUUUCGAUAGUGUUGAUCAUCGUAACUUUCCAUAAGAACGUAAUAUUUUGGUAGAUCGAUCAAGAGAUGUGGUUAAAAGAGAGUUGAGAAAGGAUGUUUGAAGUAAUUAGCAUCAAACAAAGUAAAAAGGUAGAAAAGACAGAACUUUAUAGAAGAGACGUAACCCUCACUUUAUGUUUAGGUAACCAAGGAAAACGGAACCAAAAAACCCACGUGAAGAUGAUGGUUAUGACGUAGGCGAUGAAAACGAAACUUGAAAAAAAGAAAGUCUCAAGCUAAGGCGUUGUAGUAGAGGGAGAAGUAACAGUAACUUCACUAUACGUAUAAGUUUUAGGCCGUACUUGAGUAAAACAAGGAAGAGACAGUGAAAGAAAUAGUAUUUUAGAAAAUAAAGGAGGGAGUGUACGUCGCCUGUAAAGCACCUACGAAAACGUAAAACCUUUGGAGGUUGUUAUAUGACGAAACGAGCCAUAUAGGGAAGAGAACAGUGAAAAGGCGUUUUUUAAUAUACAUUCUAGUAAAAAAUGAAAGUUUAAACGAUUUACAUGUAUGAAGGUACGUCCUAGAGAUAGCCAACGAAAGCUUAGGUAAGUUAUUUAAUUUGAGGUUAAGCCACUUAUAUAUUCUAGUAAAAAAUAAAAGUUGAAAGUUUUUGAAAAAAUUUGAAAUUUUUCAAGUAAAAUAGUUUCAUUUUAUGACAAAAAAAAAUUUUUAUUUUGUUUCUUUUGGUGACGGAUUUUUUUUUCUGUUUUGUGACGAAUUUUUUUUGUUUCUGUAUAUGUGUUCUCUCUUUGAUCUCUCUCUCCUUUCCUCUCUUUCUACUUGUGGUAUCUCCCUCUCCGCUCAGCUCAACUUAUUCGUCUCUCUCUCUUGGCCUCCGUUAGCCUCCACUACCUGCUCGCCCUCUCUCCCUACUCACAAUGCUCAACUCUUUCCCUCUCUCUGGCCAGACUCUCCUCACUCCCCCUCCCUGGCCUUUCCCUCGCUUGAUUUGCCUCUCUCCCUUACCUCGCCUAUCAUCCAACCAAAACCCAAAUAAAAUCUACAAAAUUUGGGUAAUCUGGUUAUUUAUAUCCUAGGUUUGGGUAAUCUCGUAUAUAAAGAUCUAGGUCUCCCAAAUAAAAUCUACAAAAUUUGGGUAAUCUGGUUAUUUAUAUCCUAGGUUUGGGUAAUCUCAUAUAUAAAGAUCUAGGUUUGGGCAAUCCUCCCAAAUAAAAUCUACAAAAUUUGGGUAAUCUGGUUAUUUAUAUCCUAGGUUUGGGUAAUCUCAUAUAUAAAGAUCUAGGUUUGGGCAAUCCUAGCUUAUACUUAAUCCGUACGGAAGCAACGCGGAACGCGGAACGGGGAACGGGAUCCACGCGCGGAUCCGUUACCAUGGGUGGAUCCACGACGGAUCCGCGACCGGUAACUCGGAUCACGGAUCCUCGUACGGCUUCAGCGCGAAAAAAUUAGAUACUCACCAUCCUUCCCUGUUAACGUAGGUUCUACAAACAAACCGUUCAUUAAGUUUUGGAACCUUCGUUGAACGGAAAACGAAGAUCCUUAAGGAGGCGGGGGGGGGGAGGAAAGAAAAAACAAAUUUCAACAGCAGGUAGUGAACCGCCCCCAUAUAACGUUAGAUUAGUUAAUACUGUUGUUCUUUUUUCAUAUAUCUUAGUACUUUGUCACAUCCUCUCCUACCACCUUGUUUUUGAAACCUUGUUGAAAAAAAGAAAAGACGAAGAACCCGACAGAAAUUUCUUCAGUAGUAGUCAGUAGUGACCGACCCACCAUAACGUUCGAAUGUUUGGUACUGUUGUUCUCCUUUCAGGAUAACGGCCAUAUAGUUUAAUAUAUCUUAAUCACAAUUCCCCGCUUUUUUUAUUUGAUCGUUGUUGCGGCUUCCUCCGGACUUCAGAUACCUGACGAAAGGGAAUUCAUCAAUUAAUUCGUUCAGGUGGACUAUAAAAAGUGGAAGACAAUUGGUCGAAUUAAAAUUAGGACGAAGUUUAUUACUACGAACAACCGUCUUAUGAUAAUACAUCAUCAUUAUACCAAAGAAUAUUUUACUACAACUACGACUAGACAUGAUUGAAGAGUAGUUAAAAACAAACAUCCCACAAAUACGGGAAGCAGUGAACCGUUUUUGAUAAAACCUAUUCGCUUACCUGUCAACCCUCUUUAUAACGGAAUCCGUAACAAAAUGACAAGGACUCCCCAAACGCAACGGAUUUCGACAUCCAGAAAAGAACGUUUCUGAAUCAAACAAAUGUACAAGCUCAAUUUUAAAAGUGGUGAUAAAAAGAAUGUAAAUAGACAACAAUAGUUAAAAAGUGGAUGAACUAGAUCCCGGCGGUAAAUUUAUUUAAAUUAAUCAGAUACGUGUACCAAGUAAAUUCUUUUUAACGAUUCUUUCGGAUUAUACGUAAUCCUUAUGUAGAAUACUGUCUGAUAUGUACAACUAAAUGAAAGUCAGAGACCGAUUAAUCAGAUAUGUGUAACAAGUAAAUCCUUUUUAACGAGUUUUCCGGAUUAUACGCAAUCCUUACGUAGAAUAUUGUCUGAAACGUACAACUUAGUAAAAUACGACCUGAUCUCCGUCUUAACAAGAUUAAUUAACCCAAGGGAAUUAAACUAGAAGAUGAAACAAUAUAUAAACAUUAACGAACUUAUAUAAGAUAAAUUUAUAGACCUUAUUAUAUAGAGUCUUCCGAGGAGGAUUAUUCGAAUAAACUAAGGGUCAUGCAAGUUUACGUAGGGUCCCUUUUGAUGCACGUUUUUUUACGAAAUCACGCCAGUUAUCAAACCGAUGCAAUAAAGGAAAAAGAGUAUAAAGGAGUGUAACUUAUACUAUAAAAUAACAGUACGUGUUACCGAUUUUAUAACAGGAAAAAGAAAAAAGAAUAAGUCUUAUUAAAUAGGUGAUUUCUACAAGACGAACUUCUUCUCGAGAGACUACGUCUUGGACUACGAACCAAUCUAAGGUACUCCCUCUUUGAAAGUUGUCAUUCGUCGGACGAUGAAUUGAUUUUAUUUUCCCCGAAUAUGUACACAUGGGAACCUUUUAGACUUUGAAGUAUAUAUGAUCACUUCCUCGGACGAGAAGCGUCGCCCAACUGUAUUUUUUUUUUUUUAAAACAUAAAUUUAUAUUUAUAAUAAAUAAGUAAUUUUAUAUUUACAUUACAAAAGUCUCUUGAUUAAUUCAUUUUUAUUUUUAUUUGUACACUUUUUCUUAUUGGUUAAAAAUUUCUUUAUUAUGGAUUCCUCCAUAAACCAAGCUGCAUUUUGGUAUGUUAUAUCAAAAGAAAUCCUUUUUUAGUAGUUCGGUAAUUUGUAUCGAGAGUUUGUCUUUUUAGUAGUUUGGUACUUUAAGAACAUCACUUUUAAAAUAAAAGAAAUCUUACUAAAAGCAUUUAUGAAAAAGGUUUCACACCGUAUCAAGAGUUUAUGAAAUAUAACUUUUUAACUCUUCUUUCCACCUAUUAAAUAUAUUUUUUAAACAAUUAAAAACUAUCCGUAAAUUUAAAUUGUAUAAUAACGAUUAAAAAAUGGAUUUUAGUUUUUAAAAUUUUUAGUACGUUUCAGAGUUUCUUGUUACUUUUUUUAGACUAAACUGCGGCUUUCGAACGCUUUUUUUUAUUUUUUAGAGUUGAGUGGGGGAAGCAACCGGAAGGAGCUCCGGUUUAGCUGCAGCGACUCAGCACGACGCACGAAACAGCUGGAAAGAACUCCAGUUUAACUGCAGCGACUCGACACGGUGGCGCUAAUUCUUACGGAGGAGAGGAUAACGGAGAGGGUCAGGGGGGGUCAAGUGUAUGCCUAGGUGUAUGGGUCCAUUCUCUUCAAUUUUUUUUUAUCUUCCCAUGUCUCUUCUUUUUCUUCUUUUUUUUUUUCUUUUCCUCCAUCCUCGAAACCUAAAAGAAAAACAGAUUGCAACGGCGGCAGCACAGGUGGUGAUUGCGGCGGGUUCAACAGCAACAACAGCACUAGCGGCGACUACGGUGGGUUCGGCGGCAGCGACGGGUUCGGAGACUUCACAGGUGACGGCUACGGCGGAUUCAGCGGCGACAGCGGUCGUGGCGGGUUCGACGGUGGCGACAGUAGUCUGUUCUUCAUUUUAUUUUAUUUUCUUUUCUUUUACUCUCUUCUUUUUUUUCUCCUCUUCUCAUGUUUUUUUCUUCUUUUUCUUUUCUUUCUCUCUAUCUCGACAUAUAAAAAAAAAACAGGCUUCAACGGCGGCAACACAGGCGGCGAUUGCGGCGGGUUCAGCGGCAGCAGUGACACUAACGACGACUGCGACGGGUUCGGCAGCGACGGCGGCACCGGUAGCGACAGCGGCGGGUUCGGUGGUCUACCUCUUUCUCUCCCGAUACAUCUCUCUCAUCUCUCUCUCUCUACGAAUCCCUCUCUCUGGAAAGUCCUCCACUUCUCAGCUUAACCCUCUCUCUUUCACUGCAAAGCUUUUCACUUCUCAAUACCUUACUCUCCUGUGAUGCACCGUACAUCCUAACAGUUUAUCACAUAACAUACUUAUUGGAACUCUUAUCCAACCCCCGGUAAGUUAAGUGACCAUCUCCCCACCCGUCAAAACAUCGAUCUUUCUAUGAAUACAUUUUUUAGUUCAAAGGUUUCGUGCAUCAUUAAGUCUAAAAUGUCCCCACAUACAUUUAUCUAUUAUCAAACCCUAUCUCUGUAUAUAGUUGUUAUUAAUGAUUCUCGACAAAUUUAGAGUUUCAUUAACGUACGUAACAUAGACGUCUAACCUUUCCUUAGACCUCUUGAUGUUUUGCUCUAGAAGAAUAACCUUUUCGUCAGGGUAAAGACGUGGUUAAUACUGCGUUGACAACGACUCCGCGUCGUUUAUAAACUCCUCUCGUGACACGUUCUCUACAAAGUUCCAUUGGGUCACUUAAGCUGUUAAAUAAAGUAUGGAGACCAAUUACCCGAACACGAUCUCCAAAUCUUAUUACUGAUACGUUGCGGUUGAUAUAGGAAGGACAACCGUAGAAAUAGAGGUAAGAAGUAUAAAAGUACAGUCACUUGAUAAACUUUCUAAUACACAUGCCAGUAAUAUAACGGAAACUCUCUAGGAAAUCAAAAUAAGUUGGUUUGGUUCAAGUCGACUUCAAGAAUAUAGUGUUUGGUAACGAUCGAAAGAUCAUAUCAUUUACCAACUGAGCUGACUACCCGGUUACGAAUACAGGUUAAAAUAAGCAUCAAAGUAUGAUUAUGUUUUCGUGGAUUUAUGGUAAUAUCAAAGGAUUUAUGGUAAUAUCAAAGGGUAGUAAAGGGUUACACCCUGAUAAAUCCUAACUGUAAAGAUAAAUUUCAAAAAAGGAAAAUAGAAAAUAGAACUAGGAUCAAAAUAAACAUGGAGUUUAAAAGGACUUUAUUAAAAACCUAAACGACAUCGUGUCAAGAUACAGCUCUUUUGACACAAUAACCGCUCUUUUAAAAUAUUUAUUGUGUAUAUGAAUUCGUUUAACAACGAAAUAUCUGGAAUAGUUUCGACUAAUACACGAGUCCUCCGCGAUCUUGAGACUUAAAAGGGAGAUCGUAAUCACGGUACGAUAUAACUACGUAACGGACUUUAUCAUUGAACGUUCCUUAGGAGCUGUAAUUCCAUGAGAGAGAAAAACCUCCCAAAAGUAGUAUGUUAACGGUGUGUAGAGCAAAAAUGAAAUACCCACCGAUAAAACAUCACCUGUACUUUAUGUACGGUUAUAUAAGGGAAAUCAAACAAAUGUCUUCGAACAUUAAACAUUCUAGCACGAACUGACUCAGUUAGUAAAGUUUUACUUCCUUCGAAUGUACAAAAAAACGAGGUAUAUAAAGAGAUCACGUAAUUCACGUACAAAGUAGUUUUAUUUUGUCAUUUUCCGAUGAGUUUAAAAUGUACGUAGGUAAAUACGUACACCUACAGUUUGUACGCACCUUUACCGAAAUAAAAUCGAAAAGACUAAAAAUAUAAGAUGGAAAAUAGAGAAAUAUUUAAACGUCAAUCAAGAAAUUUUAGUUUUCAGACGACCAAAUGGACGGUAAAAGUGUUUUCAUACAUGAAAAAUACAGUUAAGAAAGGGUCGUAAUAAAUACAAUCCAGCAGCCCGUAACUUAAGGUUAUUACAGUGAGAGUCAUAGUGACUCCGAAUUGAAAAUCUAUAUACCCCUCUGAUAUCUUCACUUGUUCACCGAUUUUCAAGGUGCACUGAAGUAUCUUUGACAUAUUACAAUGAACUGACAAACCCUAGACCAAUAUCUCGUUGAAGACACUCGUAGUUUAUUGUAUAUUAUAACUCGUUCAUUUAAGAGAAUAAAUAUAAUUAUAUCAGACCAGUAAAAAGUAUGCACAAUAGAACAAAUUAAUACCUUUAUUUUCGACUAGAUAAAAAAAAAAAAAAAGGAUACCGUAACACAAAAACGAGUCUAUAUCGCUCUCGAGAAGGUCACGACGUAACAUUUUAUAGUCUUGACUUGUUCUUCUCCCUUUCGAACCUUGUAGUAUCCCAGUCUUACAACAUACCAGGUUGACUUCUAGGUGUACGUCACGUGCUGCUACCAUUAGCGUCAUGAGAAUUGACAAAGACAUCAUAGGUUUUAUAUAAAAAGAUAUAUCUUUGUUCACAAAAUAAAUCAUGUCAUUUAAGAAUCUUUAUUCUUUCUUUUUUUAACAUGACCAAUUUCUUCAUGUAUCUUUUAGUGUUAUAACUCGCACCUCUAAGCGACGAGAAUUUCUUUAAAGCAAGUCUUUAAAUGAAAUAAUAAUAUAAGUUCUUGUUUUUAUAAACAAGGAUUUUCGGACCAGCCAAGUUAUAUUGGUUUGUCAAACAGCUGACCGAAAUUACUAACUUGACAAACCAAGUCACCCAAAAGUCCUUUAACAACCCAAGAUAUACUUGACCUCUUAAGCGCCCGAGCUAUAUUUGACUCGACUAUUACUUCCACGUCCCAAUCUCACGUAAAGUUAGCCGACUAGACCAGCCCGGAACUGUUAUAACCAAAAACAUGCCACAUAGUGUUCCAGUAGUGGAGCAAUAUUAAAACGUCCAAAAAGGCGCUCCGAACUUCUACAAGUACUGUAAGACUUGUAUCAUUCUCUACGCAUCGACAGUGCGUCAAAUGUUAUAGAUUUUACGUAAUUAAAAGUUGAAAGUCUUAUACGUCGUCGAAAAGUCGUUCGGUACUUAAAGAGACAUUAAGCCCCUUUAUAAAUGAUCAAACACAUUGAUAGAAAAAAAAUAGAACGAAAAAAUGAUUAACAACAGAAUUGAGAUGACAACUGACGUAAUGGCGUUCACAGUCGACGUUUAAAACACGACCUCAUACUGAGUCCUAAAUUAAAACAAUAUUGUUAUCAGGGGUUUGAAGCUUAAAAUAAAAGUAGACUAGAAGGCCAAAAAUAUAAAUCAGGAUUCUCAAUUAAAGUCAACACACCUUUACAACUGCAACAUAAGGUUAAAAUACGCUCUGAAUUAUUAUACCCCGAUUUCCCUUAGCUUUUAUAAAACAAAAAAAAUAAAGAAAUAAAAAUAUAUAUAAAAAAUAAAGAAAUAAAAAUAUAUAUAAAAAAUAAGAAGGUCUUCACUUGACUACCUAUUUUUUUUUGUAAGCUUUUAUUCAUUCAUUUUAGCUCCCCUUUUGUCUUUUUUUUUUUUCACUUUUUUCUUUAUGUGACCCGUUCCUCAGCUUUAGCAAUUUAAAGUCGCCGGUUUUAAACUCGGUAAGAAUCUUAUUAAUCACUUUUAGUUAACUAAAAGAUGCAAAAUGUUUAGGUCAGUCUUGUCAGGUGUGACGUCGGGAACCCGACCUGCAGGGCAUAAAUUCAGACCACCAGAUGGGGUCUUAUCAGUGGUUUCUCCCUUUUCGUAAGCAAAGAUGGACGUCGUUCGGAAUUAAAUGAAGAGUACCGUUCGCACGUCUUCGGAAUAAAAGAAAGGUAAAUCUUUCGCAAAUGGUUUCGACGAACAAACGUUACCCUUAGCCGUUAGUUUUAUAAAUAGAAAAAGAAUGCUUCCCAAUCGUUCUAAAAUAAUUAUGCCCUUGCGGUUGGAUCGAAAUUAUGCCCUUGUGGUUGGACCGAAGGAACGAGGACAAUAAGCCUGCGAUGUCCUGACGCUUAGUACAAAAUUUUCGUUAAUUUAACUGGUACGUUAGAAGAUGCGGCCUCUCAGAUGUCGUUAGGAUAAAUAAUUUGUUGGUUUCAGAACAAGAAGGUUUAUAAUCUAAUAAAUCACAGUUGAUAGGAAAGGUGUAGUGACUAAUAAAUUCUGAGGACCGAAAGGAGGAGAUUAAGAGGUAACGGACAAAGGAGGUAGAUAGGGUGUUGACAAAGGAGGCAGAUAGGGCGUGGGGCCCUUUCUUUGGGGUCUUAUUCGAAAUUCACGUCGGAACCAGGAACUAUGACAGUACUUACACUAAAACACUUAUCAUCUCCUAUAUAAAGUCGAUUGCGAUCUGUAUAAGAAUUCCUAAAAUAUAGGAAUUCUAUGUACUUUAACUCUGUAGUUUUAACACUUUAGGGUACAAAUAAAAUAUCGUCCUUAGACUGUAGCGUUUUCAAAUUUUCAAAACACCUUAAAAUGUAAGAGAGUUUUGUAACCUAAAUUUUUGGGUGGAGGAGGUAACCAUUUAAAGAAAAAGUUUCUUUUAAAAAAUUCCUGACUUUAUAAUAAAACGUUGUAGAUAUAGUUAAGGUUUUUAAAUUUAACUCAUUUGUCUAUUUUUUUUCAAGUUAAAUUCUUAUAAAUUUAUCUAAAAUAUAAGUUUAACAAUUAUUAAAAUAUACUAAUUAAAUCACAUUUUAAUAUAUAUUAUAGUCAGAGAUAUUUUUUUUCCAUAAUACCAUUAAACAACUAUAUCAAGCCAUUAAAAAUACAACUUGAUUUCGUCCGUAUUAUAUAAAGACAUAUAAAAUUCUGUACAUGAUUUAUUUUUAUAAAGAUAGUCUAUCUUUAGAUAGUACUACUCAUACAAAAAACUUUUCAAUUAAGGCCUGUCUUUUAAAAUUUAAGCUCAUCCAAGAUUUCCACAUCCUAGAUUUUCCACAUCCCGCAGACAUCUUCAACAAACUCUACACAAUAUCAAGUGUGUCAUGAUUAUGAUUAAUACUACAUUGGAACUAGUAAAACCUUUAACUGUGGUAAUGUAUGUACAUCAACUAACGUAGUAUUACUAUCAUUCACGUUGAAGAAAAUACGUAACAAUCAUGUACUAAAAAUAGAACUAAUCAUCGUAUGAAAAAUGUUUAUUAAUAUUCUCAAACCGAUGUUACGAUAGCUAUUGUAGAUCGUGAACCACGAUGAUUCAAAAUACGGCAAUCUAGAUAGUGGGCCUAGUAAAGAUGUGUAAUCUAGUAUCAACACUCCUUCACUUAAGAGCUUUAUGCUCUCAAUCUGAAGUACAUUUUGGCUGGUUCCCAGCACAACCAUUCGAAACCUUUUCGGUUUCUACAAUUUUAGUGGUUACCACGUAACCUUUACUCAGGUGCUCUCGUUUAUCAUAUUUUGAACGUGACCUCGUUUUAACGAGAGCCCCUGGCCAGGGACCGUCCCUCCCUGGCCAGAGUAGUCGACCACAGCGCCCCAACGAACUCCGUUGGCCAGGGACCGUCCCUUCCUGGCCAAGGGCUUGCGCUUGGGUCGCUCUUUUCGGUUUUUAACCGAUUCAGGACUCUAAGGUCAAGAGCCCUUGGCCAGAGAACCCCUCCUUGGCCAGAGGGCUCUGGCCAGAGAGACCCUCUCUGGCCAUAGGCUUGCGCACUGGACUCGACUUCGAGAGCCCCUGGCCAGGGUACAGCCCCUCUGACCAGGGAGGCGCGCGUCUCACGGGUCACUCCCGUCACGUGUCUCACUUUUCAACUCCCCCGGUCGACCUAUAACAAUGUAAUCUCCCGAAUAAUCAGGGAGAGAGGGAGAGUGAGAGAGUCAAGUGAGAGAGAGAGGGAGUAUGAGAGAACGAGAGAGAGAGAGAUCUUCCCUUUCUUCUUCCUCUUCUUCUUCUCCUUUUCUCUUCCUUUUCUUCCUUCUUUUCCUUCCUCUUCUUCUUCCUCUAGUUGUUUUCCUUCGAAAACCUGGAGAGGGAGUAGGAGAGAAGAGAGAAAACUCGAUUGGAUCUCCAUUCGAAGGUUGGGAUCAAAUACUUUAAAUCCCAAAAACCCAAAAUCGAGAAAUCUACCCUAGUUUAAAUAGUGCGCUUAAUUAGCGUAUAUAAUAGUUAGGUAAAAACUAGUGCGUACGCCAAUAUAAAAAUACUAUUCAAGUUACUAUGCAAAAUAGUGAUUUGAAGGGAAGAAAGAUUUUUACAGGAGAGACCGUAUAUCGGCUACUCUGAAGAAGGGUGGCAAAAUACUCGUAAGAUUUUUCUGGAUUUUCUAGUAUUUUUUCUGUCUGGAAAUGCUGCUGUCGAAAAUUAGCGAAGUUACUAUGCACGAUAACUAUGCAUGCACGAGGCUUCACGUGGGUUUUUUUUUUUUUUUUUUUUUUUUUUUUUUUUUUUUUUUUUUUUUUUUUUUUUUUUUUUUUUUUUUUUUUUUUUUUUUUUUUUUUUUUUUUUUUUUUUUUUUUUUUUUUUUUUUUUUUUUUUUUUUUUUUUUUUUUUUUUUUUUUUUUUUUUUUUUUUUUUUUUUUUUUUUUUUUUUUUUUUUUUUUUUUUUUUUUUUUUUUUUUUUUUUUUUUUUUUUUUUUUUUUUUUUUUUUUUUUUUUUUUUUUUUUUUUUUUUUUUUUUUUUUUUUUUUUUUUUUUUUUUUUUUUUUUUUUUUUUUUUUUUUUUUUUUUUUUUUUUUUUUUUUUUUUUUUUUUUUUUUUUUUUUUUUUUUUUUUUUUUUUUUUUUUUUUUUUUUUUUUUUUUUUUUUUUUUUUUUUUUUUUUUUUUUUUUUUUUUUUUUUUUUUUUUUUUUUUUUUUUUUUUUUUUUUUUUUUUUUUUUUUUUUUUUUUUUUUUUUUUUUUUUUUUAACUUUUUACUAUAUGAAUAGUAAAAGUCUUACAGAAAAAUGCACAGAGGGGAAACUAUACUUCGGCUACUUUGGACAAGGGUAGCAAAAGACUCGUGGGAAUAUUUCGGAUUUUUUAAGAUUUUUUAUAAAUUUUUUCGGUCUAAAAUUUAAGUGGCGUAAUUAGUGCUAAUUACGUGACUAAUGCACGUUGUUUUUUCUCCUUUUUUUUUUAUCUUUUUAAAUUUUUCUUUAAAUGAAAGCUUUUUAAAGACUUAAAUUAAAGUGUGUUUGUAGGCGGAAACGAUGUUGGUCGUUAUUAAAUAUUAAUUUAAUUGGGAUGGAUAGGUGGAUGUUUAGAUGAAAUUGUUUGAUAGAUAGUUCACAGUAAAAGAGGAACGGAAAGAAAAUAAUAUAUGUCUUGAAUGAUAUUUGUAGGAUGAAUAAAAAUAGGAUGAAGUGCAAAUUUAAAAUUUCCGUUUUUAGAAAAUAAACUAAGUUUCCAAAUCUUUUUUAAAGUAGGUCCCGUCUGGUACUCCCUUCUAGAAAUCAAGAUAAAAAUUUUUCAGAUGUUUUUUAUAUUUCUAAAACUCUUUAUCUCAUUAAAUUUUCGAUGAUGCAAUUUUCCUAAAACUCGGACUUAUGAUGAAAUUUAAUUUUCUAAUGUGGAUAACACCACUUAAGACACAGUGUUGGUGCACAAGACCCUCUUGGCGUACAGUUUUCAGAGAACCUCGCUCUAACGCCGCAAAGCACCUCUGGCUAUCAAUGGCGAAAAUUAAGACACAGUGUUGGUGCACAAGACCCUCUUGGCGUACAGUUUUCAGAGCCUAGACUUUCUUGGUCAAACUUACCCAGACUUUCUUGGUCAAACUUACCUAGAAUCUCUUGGUUUCAAGUUACUAAACUUAUAAAGACUUUAUUGAUUAAACUAGUAGAGACUUUAGCUUUAUCACUUAGCUAUUUUAAAACAAUCAAUUCAACAGCCUCAUUCUCUUUUAAACAAGACAGAGAAAAGAAACGAAUACAAAUCUUCCUUGAAAACAACCACAUUAUUGUUAAUAGUGAAUGCAACCACAUUAUUGAUAAUAGUAAAUUUUCCUAGAUUUAUCCUCAAUACAAACACAUUACCUAUAUUUAUGCCAAAAAGAAAAGCUUCUGAUAACACUUCUGAUCAACUUCUUCGAGAUAUCACAGAACAACCUUUCCAUUUAACAACCUUUAUUUUUACCUUAAUUCUGUUAGGCUUUCCACUAAGAACCACCUGGACCACGUACCUUGACCACGUACUCACCACAGGUGCACAGCCUAAUAAUAAACAGGUUUACCUCCGGUGCACAGCGAAACCCUGAACGAACCUCCUUCGGUUUUUUAACGAGACCUCCACCUUUCAACCUGAACCACCACAGACAAACCCUUGUCUGAAACCUUGGAACGAAAACUACUACCUCAACCUAGUGUUCCACCAAUUUCUUGUCUUUAAUUUCGGGAUUUGAUUUUUUGGGAAUAAAAACGGACACUUUCCUAGUGUCGCCCAAUUAAGAAAAAAGAAAAAAGCAAAAGACUAAAAAAGAAAGAAAAGAACUUAAAAGAGAACAAAAAAGACAAAAAGGUAAAAAAGUUAAAAAAGAAAACUAAAAAAGUUAAAGGUCUAAGAAAGAAGAAGAAGUAUAAAGGUGAAAAGAGACCUUUAAGAAAAAAGUAAAAAGAGAAACGAAAAAAAAAAAAAAAAAUCGUCACAGGUUAUGUUCCAGCUUUACUUUUCCGCGUUAAUUUUGACGUCUUGACUUUCUUUAUAAAUGUUUUUACAUGUUUUACAGUCUUAGUCCGCCGAUUCGUAAAAGCGGAUUUAACAGUGUAAACCCUCUUCUACGAAGAUCAUAGUACCCUAGCGGAACAAAAACAAGUCACAAAGGAUAUGAUCCCACACCAUUACCAAGACUUCUACCAAGUUAAACGGAUUUUCCAAACCGUUAACCGACACCUAUAGAAAACUCCCAUCCAAAAACACCACGACUCCUAUUUUUUCCAAAAUAACUCUAUCUCCCUACCUGAUGACCCUAAUCACCCAAAACUGUACCUCAUUAAACUUUACCUCAUAAAUACAGCCAGUAUCCUCCUUUCUGGUUUGAGCCACAUCAACAGUAAUAUCCUCCUAUGAAACCUCCUCCUAUUCUCCUUCUAACUCCAUCUCUAUGUUAUGGAACAACACUCCCUAAGAACUCCAGAAACUCGACAACAAGGUCCUAUCGUUAAGAAACCUACAAAAAGACUAGUAAACAAGAGUUCAGUAGUGUUUAUCACAAAUCAAAAACUUCGACACAACGGUAACAACUCGUCAAAAGUGUCUUUGAUUAAAAGAGUCCUAACACCCACCUACAUCUCCAAACUUUACACCUUUCCUUGAUUAUACCCCUCUCUUAUUUCAUCUCGCUCAUUAUAGAUUCCCAAAUCUAUCUCUUUCUAUUGAAACAUCUCUUCAUCUCCUUUUCUUUCCCAUAACAAAAACAAAAAAGAAAAGGGAUUAGGGUUAGACCUAUCAAGGUUCAACCUAAAUAUUAUUUUCCCUUUAUACCGUACUCAAACAUUGUUUCCACCAUUGUAUUUUAAGAUCAUUCAAAUAUAACUAUCAGAUUCGAUAUCAGAACUUCCAAUUCAAACAGGUUUUCUACAACAACCGUUUAUAGAAGGGUUAUUAGUAAAAGACAUUAAGGAAGUUCACCCAUCGGUUUAUCAUGAGCUUACAGAGAUUAUUAUGACAGAACUAGAUCAUUCAGUAUUAUAACUUCUAAAUCGAGCAGAGCUUUUAUAACGACCAUCAUUAAAAGGGUUAGAACAAGUCCCUCCACUGUAUACGGUCUUUUGGUUUCAACAUUUAGUUUGAACAGAACCUCGGAUAGAUUGGUAUUAAAAAAUAAAACGCUCAAAAGCUCGGAAGAUUUUUCUCAAACAGAUAACAUAAGAAACGUACGACGACGAUUCCGAAAACGAAGAGGAUUUACAAAUUUCCAUCUUUCCUAUUACACUUUCCCGUAUUGUCGUUUACCCAGAAGUUUAUUGGACACUUACAGAACCUAAUAUAGUAGUUCUCUAAGAAGUCUACCAAAUUCCUUUUGUAGUCACGUUUUUCCUGUUAUUACACCUAGGUACAGAAACAGAAACAAACUUGGACUUUACAGACCUAGUUAUAUGUAAUAUAAUUAUAAAAAUACAGAUCUCUCUUAAGAAAAUUUACUUAUUAGAGGUUUACAGUCUAUAUUAUAAUAGAUUUCCAAGACAUUUAUCAGCGGUUUACAGAUACUCCUAUAACAGAACUUUUGUAUUUAAUGUCUCCUAAACCGAUUUAAGUCUUUAAAAUUUUAGAAGUAAAAGGAGACCUUAUCACAGAUUUUAUUUUUUGUAAACAACACAGACCAUUACCCAGUAUAGAGAAAGCAGGUACAGAAGACAAAGGUUACACAGAAGAAGAUCACCUAGCUUGGUAUACAGAUACAGUAGAACUCGCAGAUACUAUAAUAUUUUCAGACGUAUUCACAGAAGUCCUCAAACCUCUGUGUAUAAACAUUCUGGAACAAGAAGACUUUUAUUCAGUUUCCCCAAAUAGUCAUCCUCUUGACCCUCUAACUAAAAAUCUACAUGAUCUUCACAACCCACUAAACCCAAGACCACUUCAAUUCAUAGCACCUUAAACAGAUACUUUUCAGGUACCGACCUGUUGAAAGAAACUUUCUCAUAGGAAACUCACAAGAACGUUAACCUCACGUCUUUUUACAAAACAAUGAAGAACCUGUUACCCUCAACACAGAUACCAUCCUUGUUACGAAAGUCAAACAGAAACAUUUUGGUUAAAAAGAUUACAUACAUAAAACAAUACAUUAGGAUUAUUAUCAACCUAUUACCAUAACAAAACAAAUUAAUAUUGAACAAGUCUUUCCCGAACACCCUCUACCCUACUUUUCGGAUAUCUUCAAAACAGUCCUGAUAUUCUAACAUGAAAACUAUUCCAGAAUACAUUUUAAAGUCGAAGUUCCACAAGUCCUAAUCAGUAGGAUCUCUUUAAACAAAUUAAAGACGAUUGGAGACUUCUGACCUUACAUCUAGAACAAGUUAGAACUCAUUGAAAACAAGAUAAGAAACUCCAGAACGAAGAUUAACCAAUUCAGACACCAGAUAUAAUCUUUCAAAAACAAGAUAAUUUCACAAGACCAAAAAUUAUAUUAAAUCCAAAGAACUUUAAAACAGUUCCUCAAGACAGACACAGGCUUAACAGACUAGCUCAGACUCCUGGUCAACAACUUCUCAGGAAUUACCUAGAUAAAACUUAUAAAAAUAUUUUUGGUUUCCAUUUUCAUACUUUAAGAGGACACUCCACCAUUUGUUAUUUUCCCAUUCCAUCUAAAUCUAAAUUGUUUCAGAAUAGUAUUUCACAAUCUUUACGUUUAUUAUUUUCUCGAAAAACAGAAAAACAAAAAGAAAACUAAGCUCGGCACCAACAUUUAAAUUUCUCUUGUUCAUACCAAACCCCUUCUUAAAUAUUCAUUGAAUAAUUCAUUCAGAUAAACUAAAAAUCAUAAGAAAAGUUACUGAUGAUUUUAAACAACAUACGAUUUUUCCUGCUAAUUUUACGAAUUCUCUUUAUUCCUACCAUAAUCGUAAUUUUAGAAGAACCUCCAACUCCUCCAGCAUACCUCUCUUAGAGAUUUUCUACCCCCAUUACAUAUUCAAGAGACAGAUCUCACAAAUAUUAUGUUUUCUAAUCAAGAUCUUUAGAUACUCAGAGAUACAUUUUUCAAAAAUUUUGUGCUUUUACAUGAUUUCACGGUUACCCUACUAAUCGUAUUUGUCCUAACAACUAUCAUAAUUUCCACUUCCGCAGUUACAGUUUCCGCAGAAGUUGACUUUAAAGAUUUUUAGAAGAAGAAGGUUAUACUUGCUAUAACAUAGCGGUCAAUUUAACAGAGCCCGAACAUCAUAAAAGUGAUAUCAGACUUGACAGCAGCAGUGAUAACAAUAACAGAAGACUAACAGAAUUUAAAAGCAACAACAAUAGCAAUAAUAGCCGAAGCAUAAGAAGCAUCAGACCAUUAUAAAGCAGAAACAGAACUAAUCGGUCACACAAAUUAAUACCAAAUUUCUAAACUUUAUGUUCUUUUCCCAGAUAAAGGGUUUCGACUAUAUAACAAACCUAUUUCCAUUAUUAUUCUACCUCACCCUGAGGAUUCCAAUGACUCAGAUAUUAUUUCCAGACAUAUAUUAUCCCUUACAUUUCUUUCAGAUUUUAACCAAGUUAUUCUAUUAUGUUCGUUUGAUUUUCCUUAGAUUUUUAUCUAAGCAAAUCAUUUUUAUUACGACAGAAAUAGGUCAAAACUCUCAGAAUCUUAUUUAAAUAAUAAAAGAAGGCUAUAUAGCUUUUCCGGUUCACUAUUCUAUACCCAGUUUUCAAAGGGUUAUAUAAUAAUUAUACAGAUUUUAUAACAUAUACUACAAUAGNUCUCUAUAUUUCCCACUUGCGUAUCCGCAUAAUUUUUCUUCUUUUGUGUCACUAUAUUUAUUAGAUCUUGCUUUUAAGACUGCGCCCCAUCCUAAAUCACAACCGUCUGUUUCUAUGAUAAUAUAAUCAGAAUCUAACGGAAGAUCUAGGUCUGGUAAUUCAGAUACGAGGGCUUUUAUUUGUUUGACCAAUUUUAUGUCUUCAGCAUUAAAGUGUCUUUGUCCUGAUUUUCCAGUCUUAGCAUAUAAAGGUCCUGCGAUUUUUCCUAGGUCUUUGAUAAAUGUUCUGGCAUAAUUUACUAGUCCUAAAAAGGAUUGUAAUUCUUUAAGAGUUUCAAGUUUGUCUGGCAUGUCUAGGAUUUUCUUGGCUAUAUGGGGUUGUAAUUUUAUCUUUCCUUCACCAAUAGUUACUCCCAAGAAAUUGAUGUAUUUUUUACAGAGUUCAACUUUAUUUUUACUUAUAAUAAUUCCAUGUUUAAUAAAUUCAUGAAAGACUACCUGUAGGUGUCCUAGAUGUUCUUGUAUGUUUUUACUGAAAACUAAAAUGUCAUCGACAUAAACUAAGACAAAAUCUCUGUGUUCAUUAAAGAUUGUAUCCAUUUUUCUUUGAAAAAUAGAAGGUGCAUUUUUAAGGCCAAAAGGCAUGACUAGCCAUUCAAAAUGUCCUUCUGGGCAGGUAAAGGCUGUCCAUUCUAUACUCUCUUUGUCCAUUUUUACUUGCCAAAAACCUGACUUACAGUCAAAUUUACUGAAAAUCUUUUUAUCUUGUAUACUGUUUAUUAAUUGAGAUUUGUCUGGAAUAGUAUAGCCAUCGAAUUUUGUAUUGUCAUUAAGUCUUUUGUAGUUAAUGACCAUCCUGCUUUUUCCUCGUACUAUCUCAGAAUGUUUCAUAACUAUAAAAGCUGUUGAUCUAUGUUUAGAUAUCGAUUUUCGUAUAACACCUAAUUUAAUUAGUUCAUUUAUGUGUAGUUUAAAUUGUUCUCUUUCUUCGUUAGUGAAGUCUAUAGAGGCAGUUCUAAGUUCUAACUAUAUAUUCUGGAUUAAUUAUAUCCAGUUUACAAUAUAUUUUAUCGUUUUCCCAAUAUUUAAUUGGGUUGUCUCCCAUAAUUUCUAAUUUGUCAAGUUUAUGUAAUAUUUCGUCUAUGUCUUGCUGGUUUCUAAUAAAACCUAUAUUUAAGAGGGUUUUUUCCCAAUUUACAAAGUCAUAAUCCAUACAAAUUGAAUCGUUGUCUAAUAAUUUUUCUAGAUUAUAAGAAAAAUCAUUAUGCCAAGCGUCAAAUUCUAAUAAGUCUGUUUCGUCUGUUAUCUUAUCUAGGGAACAAGGUUCUCCCUUGGAGCAAUUGUCACAGCAAUCUAUUCUAUCUUUUAAGGGUUUCUUUGCUUUCUUUUGUACUGGAGUCAUUGUGACAUGUUGUAGAAUUUAACAUAAUCUCUAUUGAUGCUUAUUCCUCCUAAAAAAUGGAGCAUAAAAUUUAAGCCUAAUACAAAGUCUGCAUUUAUUUUCAUUUUUCGUAACCAAACCUUGGGAAUGGUAUAGGUUUCAUUGAAUGUAUUACAUGUAUCUAAGAAGCUAAUUUUUGCAUUAGAGACAUACUGUGUAUAUUUGUGGGCAGUACCAUCCAUUUGGAUACCACUUGUUGGUUCUUUUGCUGUCUUUCGAUAAUUUAAAGGGACUAGAUCUGUAUGUAUGAGACAUGUCGUACAGCCAGUGUCAAUUACUGCUUCUGUUUCAAAAUCUUUGUUUCCUAUUUGUAUUUUACAUGGAACAAUUAAGCUUCGUAGUUUUAAUCCUUCAUUACAGAUAUAACUAUCUUCAUAUACCCGCAAAUUUUCUUCUUCAUAAUAUUCAGAUAGUUCUGUCAUAUUUUCACAGAUCUCAAUUCCUUUUCCUUUGUUUGUAAUGUCCUUGUUUUUUCGCGGAUUAUCUUGUUUUUCUAGAAGGCUGACUCUAGCUUCUAAUGCUAUAAUUCUUUUUUCAUGGGCAUUUAAGUGUUCAAUUUCAAAAGUCCUUUUAGGUUCUAAAUUUGUAAUUUGUCUAUUAAACUUUUUGUUUAAGCAAAUUGAACAUGCUUCAAUUUUACAUAAGCGACAUUUACAUCUAAGUUUUCUUUCUGGAAAGAAAUUACAGUAUGUGCAAGGUCUAUGGUCAUAUCCUUGUCUUUCUUGCCAAUCAUGGCUGCAUUCUUCAUUUAGAUUCAUAAGGGUCAUAAAAUGAAUAGUAGGGUCAUGAAAUGAGGUUUGAGAUAUUUCAAAGAGAUGUCGUAUGUCUUUUAUAAUGUCUUCUUGUUCUGAAAGAUCAUCGAACAGAAUCCUAAUAUCUCGAAUAAUUUUAUUUUGGUCCUUAGUAUCUAAUAACCUCUGUUUGCGUUCAUAUUCGAUUAUUUCUCGGAUUCUUGAUCCACUCUGGUUUUGUAUUUCCAUAGCUAUUUUCCAUAUUCGUUUGUCUAUCCUUUCUUGUGCUCUUUGUCUUAAUAAUUGAAUUUUAUAGUCUCGGGCGGCUAAUUCCCAAUUAGGGUUUUGUUCUUGUUCUAGAGUUUGUACUCCCUCAUAAAGAACAGUGGUACUGUCAUAAAACGAAGUCCAUGUUUGUUCUUCUAGUGGGGAAGUCAUGGAUGUAUUUUCGUUAGGGUCUUCAAAAAUCAUUGCAGAUUCAAAAAAAUACGUAUGUUCUUUUUGCUUUGUUUUAGUACCUUCAGCCAUAUUUGAGAUAAAAGUAUUGUAGUUAUUAUUGUCUUCAUCAGAGGAAGAUUCUCUGUCACUUUCUUUCUCGUAGACUAUAUUAUUUUCAAUGGAGUAAAUAGUUUCAGUGUCUGAUACAAGUUCAUCUACUGCUAACAAGGUUUCACCAGUAUCUUCUAUAAGUAAAGCAUUUCGGUUCUUUAUGUUUUGUCUUCUUGGACAUGCAUUUGCAAAAUGGCCUGGACUAUUACAUGUAUAACAAAGAAGUUUGCUUUUAUAAGUUCUGUCGGAUUUAUAUUUUCUAACAUGGUUGUCUUUAUUUAAAUAGGGCUUUUUGGCUUUUGAUCGCCGUAAGAAAUAUUUCAUUCUUGUCUUAUAUCCUUUGUAUUGAGGGAUGUAAUGUUUAGAUGUUUUUCUUUGGUUUUUAUAAAAUGGAUUUCUAUACUGCUGGGGAGUAUACACCACACUUUUACAGAAAGAGUAUUCAUUGUCUUUUAGUUGUUUUGUGAUUUGAAUAUUGGCACAUUUUUCUUGUAGUAUAUUCAUUAUGAAUUUUACUCUUUGUCCUAUGGACCAUUUAGUGUCCGGGUUUUGCCUUAUAGUUUCUUUUUCCAUUGUAUCCCAUCUAUCUUGGAUUUCUCUGCCUAAGGCUCCUGGAAGUUUGAAGAAUAAUUUUCGUCCUAUGUCUUGGCUAAAAGCAUUCCCACUUAUACUUGCAUAAUAUAAGUAUGCCUGUAGAAAGUCUUUGAUAGGAAACCAGGUUGAAAUACUAAGUUGUUCUAGGCUAAUAAGAGCCUGAUUUUGGAGGAGUAUUGGCCAGAGUUAGGGUCUUGGCCUGUAAUAAGAGAAUGAACUUUGUUUGUAAAAUUACAAGGAUUACAUCCUAAUGUUAAAAGAUGUCUGAAUUCAUCUUCAUAUUGAACCUUAUAUUGUUCCCGCAUUCCUUUAGUAGAUUCUCCUAGAAAGGUUUCUAAAUAUUUGUACAUUUCUUCGGCAUUAUCUGUAUUCAUGUAGUGUUGAUUACGAAUAUAAUCUGCUACAACUAAUCCUUUCCAAAUGUCUAUUAUAGAAUCCCAAGUUUGGGGGUCAUGGGCUGCUAUGUUUAAUAUUUUUCCAGAUCCUGCUUCUUGUAAAUUAACAGGAUUUUUAAAAGGAUAUGUUUUGCCGUAAGAUCUGACAUUACGACCAUAAGGGUAGAUUUGUUCUUCUGGGGCUGAGGAGACGCUAUGUCUAGGAAAGUUACCAGUGUUAUAAGUUUCUGCUGGCAUCCGGAUUGUAUCAUAGUAUGGUAUAUGAGAAUAUCCAGGAUUGGUUGUUUGAGGCCUAGGAGGUCUCUGUGGAGCUGGAGGAGUGGAUAGUGGAUGUUCAACAUGAUAUGGUGGAGGAGUGUGUGUUACAGGAGGAUUAUGAACAGUAGAUCCUUCUCCUUCUUCUGCUAAGUUUAUUUCUCUUAUCUCGUCUCUUAGGUUAUAGAUGAGAUUAUUAUUGGACAGAGUAUAUCCUAACUUUUUAUCUUUUUCAGAUCGUAAUUGUCUUUUUAGUCUGAUUUGUUCUAUCAGACGGGUUUCUUCUUCAUCGCUAAAUUCUUCAUCUUCAGAUUCAGAUUCAGAAGAAUAGUCAAUAUAAUUGUAUUCCAUAAAAUUAUAUUCGAUAUUGGGUUGUUUUUCUAGAUUAUAAGGUACAUUCAAGUUUGGUGGUUGGUCUUGAGGUAAUAGAGUAAAAUCUCUUCUUUGAGUGCUUGAUUCACCUAGUUGGGUCGAUGUACUACUCCUUUUUCGUAUUAACGGCGUAGUCCUAUCUUUUUCAUUUUCUGUUUCUUCAACUGUCUCGAAGUCUGUGAAUCUGAGUGAGUUCCUUCCUUGUUCAUUUUGAUAGUAAAUAGUAUCUGCAGGAGCUAUUGUUGUUUGCCGAAUUUUAGUAAAUUUAUCCAAAUUCCAUUCUAGGCCGGCAUAUUUCUUAGCAUCUAUUUCCAUUGGUGCUAUUAAUUUCAUGCCUUGUGUUCCCAUUAAAUCUACUACACCUAAGGGGUUCAUUAAAAAAUGUGAUUCGGCAGUAGGUGUUAACAGACCUGUAAAUCCGAUGCAAACUUGUAAGUUUCUAAAGUUUUGUCCUUCAUAUAAGUCUAUUCCUCUAACUUGUAUACCAAUCUUAAUCUGAUUUGCAAAGUCUAAUGAAGGCAUUAGAAAGUCUGGAACGACAUAAAAUAUUCCACCGUUGAAAUUCAUAUCUAUUUCUGUACAUCCUAAGGAUGCAUCAAUUAUAUUCUUGUGUCUAUUGUCAUAAGGCAUUAAGAGUACUUUAGAUCCUAGUUUUUUACAUACUAGUCCUUUUAUGCCUAUUACAAUUAAUCCUAAAUGCAUAAGUGCUAUAUCUGCCUUUCUAAUACUCUUUUGUACUUCGUCAUCAGCAAGGGGUAUAGAAAUAUGUUGACCGUCAUAACAUUCAACUGAUACUUCACUCUUAAAAGAUAUAAAUUUAGUUUUAUCAACAUACCGUUGACGUUUAUCAUAUAAAAUGUCUGGAUUUAUGAGACGUAAUCCGUGGGUACGGAAGAUUGCGAUGUCAUCAUCAACAUCUACAACUGUGUCUAGUUGAGGUGUCUAUGAUCUGGGGACUAACGGAAGAGGUGUUGGUCUACAAAAAAUUUUUUCAACUAUGUUCCUUGCUCUAGACUUAGGAGCUCUUAAAGAAAUUGUAGAUUCUCUAUCUUCAGAUCUAGAGGAAUUAGAUCUAGAAAGUCUGUGUGUUUGAGAAGAAGAUGUAGAAAAUUCCAUAUUUAUCAAUAAUAUGGUGGUAUUGAGGAUAAAUCUAAGAAGAUUUACUAUUAUCAAUAAUGUGCUUGCAUUCACUAUUAUCAAUUAUGUGGUUGUAUUUAAGGAAGUCUUGUCUUCGUUUCUUUUCUCUAUCUUGUUUAAAAGAAAACGAGGCUGUUGAAUUGAUUGAAAGAAUAAAAUAGCUAAGUGAUAAAGCUAAAUAUGUUAAUAUUAAAAGGUCUUAGCUAGUCUUAACCAAGAAAGUCUUAGCUCUGAUACCAAACUUGGUGAAUCAAGCACUCAAAGAAGAGCCAUUCUCCACAUAAUUGAAAAUAGGAUGAAGUAAAGCAUUUCGGUUAUAAACAAAUUAAAAAUAGGAUGAAGUAAAGCAUUUCGGUUAUAAACAAAUUUUAUUCUAAAAAAAUUAAACAAUACCCUUAUGGUCGUAAUGUCACGUGAAAAUUUCAGUUUCAAAAAAUACCCAAACUUAAAUUAAAGUGUGUUUGCAGUUAUUUUCCUGUGCUCCUAAGUUUUAUCCAUGCACCAGGUCUACCAAAUUGUCUCGCCAAUGAUGACCAUCCAAAACCACUACGCCUGAGGUUUUUUUUUCAAAACCAGUGGGCCCACGUCAUCAUGCCGCGUCAUCAUUCCAUCCAUUACCUAAACCUGCGUAGCCGCGGUUUUUUUGAAAACCAGGUGCCGCCGCAGUUUUCUCCUCCAAAACCUCCCUUCCUUCGGCUAUAAAAGGAGACCCUCCUCCUUCCCUCAAAGCAUGGUGAAAAAAUCAUCCAAAGGAAAGAGCCAUUCUCCACAUUCCCUCUGCCGCUUCCCUAUGCAAAAGUCCGCUGAAGCUUAAAGGAAGAUCAUUUCGACGACAAGUGAAGAAUGAAGCAAGCCUCUUGUUAGAUAUAGCAUCCUAGCUCCACAAAUAAUUCCCUAAUGGCCUUUAUUUUCCUGUCUUUCCUGUAAAAAUUUAUCUUUUUCUCAACUGCAUUCUGGCGUGAAGAGUCUGUACAAACAAGUCCUUUCUUUUCCCCCGGGAAGUCCCGGAAGGGAAACCUUCUAGCGUUGUGAUGUAAGUUUUAUCCUUUGUUUAAUAUUAUAUUUCUCGAACUCUUCUAUCCAUGGCAUUUUCUUUGCCCCAUGAUUCCCUUUCCUUGGACUCUUAAUGAAAAUUUAUGGGUUCUCUCUGGAUAAUUAUUUCAGCUUAAGCAAGUGUAAAGCAUAUAUGCUUGGCAGAUUUGAUAAGAGAAAAAAAUGCUCUGUAAAUUUCGCCAUUGAUAGCCAGAAGUGCUUUGCGGCGUUAGAGCGAGGUUCUCUGAAAACCGUACGCCAAGAGGGUCUUGUGCACCAACACUGUGUCUUAAGUGGUGUUAUCCACAUUAGAAAAUUAAAUUUCAUCAUAAGUCCGAGUUUUAGGAAAAUUGCAUCAUCGAAAAUUUAAUGAGAUAAAGAGUUUUAGAAAUAUAAAAAAAACAUCUGAGAAAAUUUUUAUCGUGAUUUCUAGAAGGGAGUACCAGACGGGACCUAAUUUAAAAAAGAAUUGGAAACUUAGUUUAUUUUCUAAAACGGAGAUUUUAAAUUUGCACUUCAUCCUAUUUUUAUUCAUACUACAAAUAUCUUUCAAGACAUAUAUUUACUUCUGUCCGUUCCUUUUUUACUGCGAACUGUCUAUCAAACAAUCUCAUCUAAACAUCCACCUAUCCAUCCCAAUUAAAUUAAUAUUUAAUAACGACCAACAUCGUUUCCGCCUUCAAACACACUUUAAUUUAAGUUUUUAAAAGCUUUCUCUUAAAGAAAAGUUUAAAAAGAUAAAAAAAAAAAAGAGAAAAGACAACGUGCAUGUCACUUUGCGUAAUUAGCACUAAUUACGCCACUUAAAUUUUAGACCGGAAAAAUUUAUAAAAAAUCUUAAAAAAUCAGAAAUAUUCCCACGAGUCUUUUGCUACCCUUGUCCAGAGUAGCCGACAUAUAGUUUCCCCUUUGCAUUUUUCUGUUUGCAUAGUAAACUUAAAAAGUUAAAAAAAAAAAAAAAAAAUUUUCACGUGAAGCCACUGUAUGCAUAGUUAUCGUGCAUAGUAACUUCACUAAUUUUCGACAGCAACAUUUCCAGACAGAAAAAAUACCAAAAAAUUCAGAAAAAUCUUACGAGUAUUUUGCCACCCUUCUUCAGAAUAGCCGACAUACGGUCUCUCCUGUAAAAAUCUUUCUUUCCUUCCGCCACUAUUUGCAAUUCUCAAAAAAUACCCAAAAAAUUGUUAAAAGUUCAACUUUCUCUUUCUUAUUCUUAUCCUUUUUAACCGGUAUUUUCUAAUACUUAAUUUUCAAUAUAUUACAUAAUCUGACCCAACUCUACUAUUUACCGCAUUUCCCUAAAAUCUUAAAAAAUCCCAAAAAUAUUAUAAAAAUCCCCUUUAGGUUUUUGCUUCUUUCAAAGGUUUGUUUUUCCUCAUACCUUAGGGUUUUCAUAAAUAGACCAUUUCCGCACCUUCUCCUAAACCCUAAACCCUAAACCCUAAAACCUAAACCCUCAACCCUAAACCUUAAGCUUGGAACUAGCCAAGCCUAAACUCUCUAGUCCCCUCUCCCCUGUUCCCCUCUCCCCUUCUUGGGGAGAGGAAAAUUGCAUCUGGCAAAAUUUUCCCCUCUCCCCUGUUCCCAACUCCAGUACAAAGAGUUUUAGUAACAUCUGGCAAAAUUAUGACUGAUUUCUUGCGAAAUGUACCACCGCAAAACGCACACUUAGGUGACGUUCGCAGCACAUUAAGGGCUGUCGGUCCAGCGGUGAUAUUCCCAUGACUCUACUUCAACAUUUAUUUUUCAUUCCCGAUUCCCCAACACGAGCGUAAUACAUUCAGGAAUCAUGAUCAACAACAGAUAGAACCUUACAUCUUGACGAAGCCGGCAUCUCUCAUCUCCACCUAUAAAUUCUCCAAAAGUUGAAAUAAUAGUUUGUAAAUCUUGAUACUUGUGGCAUUGGAGUGGUAA
RNAcentral lists this long non-coding RNA (37667 nucleotides) under Ananas comosus (pineapple). RNAcentral describes it as "long non-coding RNA (ACOM_LNC034752)". Lineage: Eukaryota; Viridiplantae; Streptophyta; Magnoliopsida; Poales; Bromeliaceae. The record is from RNAcentral.